This 152-nucleotide unclassified non-coding RNA is filed under the name uncultured Ascomycota. RNAcentral describes it as "sequence contains ITS2". Lineage: Eukaryota; Fungi; Ascomycota. The record is from RNAcentral.
CAACCCUCAAGCCUGGCUUGGUGUUGGGCGUUUUGUCCCGCCAUGUGCGCGGACUCGCCUUAAAAGAAUCGGCGUCUACAUGUGGGCCUGAUGCGUAGUAAAAUUCGCAGACUAGGUUGGCGUGCUGGCGGCCGGAACGCAUAUAUCUUUUU